RNAcentral lists this small RNA (531 nucleotides) under Incrucipulum radiatum (nom. inval.). RNAcentral's name for it is "eukaryotic LSU rRNA". The stretch from base 187 to 340 matches the Rfam family "5.8S ribosomal RNA". Lineage: Eukaryota; Fungi; Ascomycota; Leotiomycetes; Helotiales; Lachnaceae. The record is from RNAcentral.
AAGUAAAAGUCGUAACAAGGUUUCCGUAGGUGAACCUGCGGAAGGAUCAUUACAGAGUUCAUGCCCUUACGGGUAGAUCUCCCACCCUUGUGAAUCUCAUUAUCUGUUGCUUUGGCGGGCUCACCCCCGCCAGAGGACCCUAAAACUCUGAAUAUUAGUGUCGUCUGAGUACUAUAUAAUAGUUAAAACUUUCAACAACGGAUCUCUUGGUUCUGGCAUCGAUGAAGAACGCAGCGAAAUGCGAUAAGUAAUGUGAAUUGCAGAAUUCAGUGAAUCAUCGAAUCUUUGAACGCACAUUGCGCCCCUUGGUAUUCCGGGGGGCAUGCCUGUUCGAGCGUCAUUAAUACCAAUCUAGCCUCGCUAGGUGUUGGGCCUCGCCGUCUGGCGGGCCUUAAAACUAGUGGCGGUGCCUCCAGGCUCUACGCGUAGUAAUUCUCUCGCUAUAGACCCCUAGAGGAUGCUGGCCAGCAACCCCUAAUUUUUUCAGGUUGACCUCGGAUCAGGUAGGGAUACCCGCUGAACUUAAGCAUA